RNAcentral lists this ribosomal RNA (371 nucleotides) under uncultured Methanosaeta sp. RNAcentral describes it as "bacterial SSU rRNA". It matches the Rfam family "Archaeal small subunit ribosomal RNA", at positions 968 to 1338 of the family's 1478-position model. The record is from RNAcentral. Lineage: Archaea; Methanobacteriati; Methanobacteriota; Methanomicrobia; Methanotrichales; Methanotrichaceae.
UUACCGGAUUAGCUGAGAGGUGGUGCAUGGCCGUCGUCAGUUCGUACUGUGAAGCAUCCUGCUAAGUCAGGCAACGAGCGAGACCCACGUCCACAGUUGCCAGCAUACCCUCCGGGGUGAUGGGUACACUGUGGAGACCGCCGCUGCUAAAGCGGAGGAAGGAAUGGGCAACGGUAGGUCAGUAUGCCCCGAAUCUCCCGGGCUACACGCGGGCUACAAUGGUUGGUACAAUGGGCAUCUACCCCGAAAGGGGAAGGAAAUCUCUUAAAGCCAAUCGUAGUUCGGAUUGAGGGCUGCAACUCGCCCUCAUGAAGCUGGAAUCCGUAGUAAUCGCGUUUCAACAGAACGCGGUGAAUACGUCCCUGCUCCUU